Copidosoma floridanum is the source of this 237-nucleotide long non-coding RNA. NCBI's taxonomy places the organism in Eukaryota, Metazoa, Arthropoda, Insecta, Hymenoptera, Encyrtidae. The record is from RefSeq and is a predicted model, not a curated record.
CACCUGGGCUGCCCAUCAUCGGAAACGCACUUUCGUAUUUCAAUAUUGAUACAGUUUACUUGUGGAAUUUAAUGAGGAAAAUUACGGACGAGUACUACCCUAUCGCAAAAGUAUCGAUUUUAAAUUAUGCCGUAGUCCUAUGUCGUAAUCCGGACGAUUUAGAGAUAUUCUUCACGGAUAGAGUCAACACAUCCAAAGGUGGAAUACCAUACAAAUAUCUUGAAAAAUGGGCUCACC